This 1483-nucleotide long non-coding RNA is filed under the name Olea europaea subsp. europaea. The record is from RNAcentral. Lineage: Eukaryota; Viridiplantae; Streptophyta; Magnoliopsida; Lamiales; Oleaceae.
CCUAAGUCCAGCCCUAAGGAUCGCCUCGCUAAUGGCCACACAGCCCGGCCUAGGGUAGCAGGCUCUCUCUUCUGGCCCGGGGAGGAUCAAAUCUAUGCUAUUAGGGAUCCUAUACUCUAUCCUAAGUCUCCCUAGGUCCGCCUCUCUUAAUUUUGAUGGGUAGUCCGAUGCCUCCCAAUGCACAGACGUAUCUGCUAGGCUAUCUGGUCGCUUCCAUAUAUUUUCCCCCCUAUCUGAGGAGGUCGCCACAACGGGCUCGUCCACCCUCACUAGUCCUAACCCCCUCCCCGAACCAGAACUUCCCUCCGAGGUCAUUCUUUCAAAAUUUAAAAGCCCUAAAAGGUACUGAAACUUACGAGUUUGAAGGUUUUCCUAGUCGAAAAUGGUGUAAGGUCGCCGAAAGUUCAAUUUUCUCGCCGGAAUUGCUUAGAAAAUGCCGAAAAUCGCCAAAUGAUUUGAGAGCAAAGUAACUUGUUUGUUUCGCAAAGGUAGAAAGCUUGAGAAAACCUCAAAGUCCUCCUUUUACAGGAAGACAAAUCCGAUCUCCACCGUCGAAUUCAAAUGCGAUCAAUCUAAACCAUUCAUCGCAUCUUCAAUCUAGGCCGUUGAAAUGAAACGCCAGAUUUGAUCUACGCCCAAGAUGUCGCUGUGACUUUCACGCUUGCUUAAAAUGCGUUACCUUGGUUACAACCAGCCGUCAAUAAUAAUAAGUAGCCGCAGCAGCCUUUUAAGAGAAUAGGCAUGGCACCUAACUGUCACCUUGAAAACACACAACAGUUGUCAAAUCAUUUGACGUUUGAAUCACCUCGGAUAGAGCUCCUCACUCAACUUUACAAAGCUUGGACGCACCUGACUCGAAGCCCCCUGUGGGUCCUCGCCUCGGAUGUUGCGUUCCCUCCCAUGCUUUACAAAGUUUUAGCCAUCUCCCAACGCGUUGGCCCUGUGGGUCAGCGCACCAGUGGCAGAUGAGCUCCUCACUCAACUUUACAAAGUUUGGACGCACCUGACGCGAAGCCCCCUGUAGAUCCUCGCCUCGGAUGCCGCGUUCCCUCCCAUGCUUUACAAAGUUUUAGCCAUCUCCCAGCACUUCGGCCCUGUGGGCCAACACACCAUAUUUACGGAGCUUCGACGCACCUGACGCGAAGUCCCAUGUGGGUUUACCACCUCGGACGCUGCGCACAGUAACGAAACUUUGGCACAUCUGCCUAGGAUCAUAACCUUGAUUACUGCAAAAGAUCAACCCCCAAGCUCCCACAAGUCGCGGUCAGGUCAGGAAAGCAAGUUCAUCCAUAAUAUAAAUAUUCAUACCUGGACUUGGGGGACCAUUAUUACGCUCCGAUCUGAUACGCCUCGGAACGCUCACCACCAUAUAUUCUGACCUGAUAAGGACCCGUCCGAAGUGUUUCCGAAGUGAUAUCAGCAAUACCUGCAACCUAGUAAUACUGACCUGACCAAAAGUACCUCGCCCGAGGUUGAGGCCAAG